GCAGACGGGUGAGUAACGCGUGGGGAUCUGCCCUUUGGUACGGAAUAACCCAGGGAAACUUGGACUAAUACCGUAUGUGCCCUUCGGGGGAAAGAUUUAUCGCCAAAGGAUGAACCCGCGUCUGAUUAGCUAGUUGGUGGGGUAAUGGCCCACCAAGGCGACGAUCAGUAGCUGGUCUGAGAGGAUGAUCAGCCACACUGGGACUGAGACACGGCCCAGACUCCUACGGGAGGCAGCAGUGGGGAAUAUUGGACAAUGGGCGAAAGCCUGAUCCAGCCAUGCCGCGUGAGUGAUGAAGGCCUUAGGGUUGUAAAGCUCUUUCGCCGGUGAAGAUAAUGACGGUAACCGGAGAAGAAGCCCCGGCUAACUUCGUGCCAGCAGCCGCGGUAAUACGAAGGGGGCUAGCGUUGCUCGGAAUCACUGGGCGUAAAGCGCACGUAGGCGGAUCGUUAAGUCAGGGGUGAAAUCCUGGAGCUCAACUCCAGAACUGCCCUUGAUACUGGCGAUCUCGAGUUCGAGAGAGGUUGGUGGAACUCCGAGUGUAGAGGUGAAAUUCGUAGAUAUUCGGAAGAACACCAGUGGCGAAGGCGGCCAACUGGCUCGAUACUGACGCUGAGGUGCGAAAGCGUGGGGGAGCAAACAGGAUUAGAUACCCUGGGUAGUCCACGCCGUAAACGAUGGAUGCUAGCCGUUUGGGGGGGUUUACCUCUCAGUGGCGCAGCUGACGCCUUAGGCAUCCCGCCUGGGGAGUACGGGUCGCAAGAUUAAAACUCAAAGGAUUGACGGGGGCGCCGCACAGC
This 800-nucleotide ribosomal RNA is filed under the name Xanthobacter sp. NCCP-1315. RNAcentral's name for it is "bacterial SSU rRNA". It matches the Rfam family "Bacterial small subunit ribosomal RNA", at positions 98 to 930 of the family's 1533-position model. The record is from RNAcentral. Lineage: Bacteria; Pseudomonadati; Pseudomonadota; Alphaproteobacteria; Hyphomicrobiales; Xanthobacteraceae.